GCCCAAAGUCGGUUUAGCUAACUUCGGAAGCGACUGCCUAAGGCAGGAUUGGUGACUGGGGUGAAGUCGUAACAAGGUAUCCCUACGAGAACGUGGGGAUGGAUCACCUCCUUUCUACGGAGUACAAUUACAAUUUCAUUUUUGGCCUAAAAUCUUAAUACCUGAUAUUUAAAACUAAAUUAUUUAAAUAUCUCACGAGGGUACUAAGUCAGUGUGUUGGUGUAGCCAAAAGCACUCUAAUAUUCAGUUUUGAGGGAUUUACCUCAAAAAAAUAGAUCUUUGAAAACUGAAUAGCAUAUAAAUUAAUAUGAUAACGACAUCAAAAUAUAUUUUGUGAAAAUAAUUUUGAUCCGAGUUGUGUCUAUACAUGGGUAUAGACACUAUAAAUACCUUAAGAAUACAUCAAAACAAAAAAACAUUUUUUUUAAUAGGAAAAAAUAGUUACUUAUACUUUUAAAUAAGCAAGAGUUUGUAGUGG
RNAcentral lists this unclassified non-coding RNA (478 nucleotides) under uncultured Mycoplasma sp. RNAcentral describes it as "partial 16S-23S ribosomal RNA intergenic spacer". The stretch from base 1 to 114 matches the Rfam family "Bacterial small subunit ribosomal RNA", at positions 1419 to 1533 of the family's 1533-position model. The record is from RNAcentral. Lineage: Bacteria; Bacillati; Mycoplasmatota; Mollicutes; Mycoplasmatales; Mycoplasmataceae.